UCCCUGGUAGCUCAAAGGGUAAAGCGUCUGCCUACAAUGCAGGAGACCCAGGUUCAAUUCCUGGGUUGGGAA
This is a transfer RNA of Ovis aries (sheep), 72 nucleotides long. It matches the Rfam family "tRNA". From Rfam's summary of the family: Transfer RNA (tRNA) molecules are approximately 80 nucleotides in length. Their secondary structure includes four short double-helical elements and three loops (D, anti-codon, and T loops). Lineage: Eukaryota; Metazoa; Chordata; Mammalia; Artiodactyla; Bovidae. The record is from Rfam.